This 323-nucleotide long non-coding RNA is filed under the name Citrus sinensis (sweet orange). Its description in RNAcentral is "long non-coding RNA (CSIN_LNC005607)". The record is from RNAcentral. Lineage: Eukaryota; Viridiplantae; Streptophyta; Magnoliopsida; Sapindales; Rutaceae.
CGAAAUAAAAUUUUGGGGUGGCAUCGGUUUGGCUCCGUUCAGUAUUCGGUAACUAAACAAAAAAAAAGGACACCGAACUGCUACCGAAACGGAAUUCCCGCCAGUCCAGUUCCAGUUCGAAUUUUCGGUUCUAAACCUUAUUAAAAAAAAAAAUUAAAAGCAGCAACGAGUGGCACAGUUGCAGACAUGACGGCGAAGGCGUGGACUGAUGGUGUUCGCCGAUGAGGAAUUAUGGUUGGUAGGUUAAACAUUUGAGAUUGAGAUUUGUGAGGAGACUAGGGUUUGUGAUAGAAAAGGGAAUUUGAGAGGAUCUUGGUUUUGGG